UACAAUUUAAAUUAUUUUAGAGUAGUACAAGUUAUAAUCUUUAAACUCAAAAGAUUUGGCGGUAUUUUAUCUUAUCAGAGGAACUUGUUUAUUAAUUGAUGAUCCACAACUAUUAUUUACUUCAAUCAAAAAUAUUUGUAUACCGCUGUCAUGAAUAUAUUGAAAAAUUUAUUUUCUAUUUAAUUGGUUUUUAAUUUAUGUUAGGUCAAGGUGCAGUUUAUUGAAGAACUAAUGAGUUACUUUAAAUACGAUGAAUAGAAAUUAAAAUUUUAUUUUAAAGGAAAAAGGAUUUGAAAGUAAACAUAUUUAUAGAAAUAAAAUGAAUUUAGAUUCUAAAAUAUGU
RNAcentral lists this ribosomal RNA (343 nucleotides) under Schedotrioza apicobystra. RNAcentral's name for it is "partial 12S ribosomal RNA". The record is from RNAcentral. Lineage: Eukaryota; Metazoa; Arthropoda; Insecta; Hemiptera; Triozidae.